RNAcentral lists this ribosomal RNA (439 nucleotides) under uncultured bacterium. RNAcentral's name for it is "bacterial SSU rRNA". It matches the Rfam family "Bacterial small subunit ribosomal RNA", at positions 354 to 796 of the family's 1533-position model. The record is from RNAcentral.
GUGGGGAAUCUUGCGCAAUGGGCGAAAGCCUGACGCAGCGACGCCGCGUGGGGGAUGAAGCUUUUCGGAGUGUAAACCCCUUUCGACUGGGACGAAUGCCUCGCAAGAGGAGUGACGGUACCAGUAGAAGAAGCCCCGGCUAACUACGUGCCAGCAGCCGCGGUAAGACGUAGGGGGCCAGCGUUGUUCGGAAUUACUGGGUGUAAAGGGUUCGUAGGCGGUGUGGCAAGUCGGGAGUGAAAUCUCUGGGCUUAACCCAGAGACUGCUUCCGAAACUGCUGUGCUGGAGUGUGGGAGAGGCGCGUGGAAUUGCAGGUGUAGCGGUGAAAUGCGUAGAUAUCUGCAGGAACACCCGUGGCGAAAGCGGCGCGCUGGACCACUACUGACGCUGAGGAACGAAAGCUAGGGGAGCAAACAGGAUUAGAAACCCCAGUAGUCC